GUCCUGAUUUCUCUUGAAAGUCGAAAGACUGAAAAAAAAAAAAAAAUUUAAUUUGUUGGUUGUAAACAUGAAGAAAUGUGCUAACGCUUCUGAUGUUAACCAUCUAGAAUUUGAGGUCCUGAUUUCUCUUGAAAGUCGAAAGACUGAAAAAAAAAAAAUUUAAUUUGUUGGUUGUAAACAUGAAGAAAUGUGUUAACGCUUCUGAUGCUAACCAUCUAGAAUUGGAGGUCCUAAUCUCUCUUGAACAUCGAAAGUAAGUCGUUUCCUCACUGUAAGUCGUUUCAUCGCUGUAAGUAAAACUAGAACUUCCUUCUGUAUUGUCCUGCUGCAAAUAAUUAAAAAAAGUUUUAAUUAAUGUGUCUAGGCAUGCAUCUCUUCAUCAUUUAAAGUAGAGGUUGAAAACAUGAAGAAAUAUGUCAGUGCUUCAUAAGCUGAAGUUCUAUAACUCGAGGUCCUGAUUUCUCUUGAAAGUCGAAAGACUGGAAAAAAAAAAAAUUUAAUUUGUUGGUUGUAAACAUGAAGAAAUGUGCUAACGCUUCUGAUGCUAACCAUCUAGAAUUGGAGGUCCUAAUCUCUCUUGAACAUCGAAAGUAAGUCGUUUCCUCACUGUAAGUCGUUUCAUCGCUGUAAGUAAAACUAGAACUUCCUUCUGUAUUGUCCUGCUGCAAAUAAUUAAAAAAAGUUUUAAUUAAUGUGUCUAGGCAUGCAUCUCUUCAUCAUUUAAAGUAGAGGUUGAAAACAUGAAGAAAUAUGUCAGUGCUUCAUAAGCUGAAGCUCUAUAACUCGAGGUCCUGAUUUCUCUUGAAAGUCGAAAGACUGAAAAAAAAAAAAAA
Molecule: long non-coding RNA, 833 nt
Organism: Pomacea canaliculata
Lineage: Eukaryota; Metazoa; Mollusca; Gastropoda; Architaenioglossa; Ampullariidae
Exons: 2
Source: RefSeq, a predicted model, not a curated record